Small nucleolar RNA from Artibeus jamaicensis (Jamaican fruit-eating bat), 126 nucleotides. RefSeq annotates it as small nucleolar RNA SNORA25. The record is from RefSeq and is a predicted model, not a curated record. NCBI's taxonomy places the organism in Eukaryota, Metazoa, Chordata, Mammalia, Chiroptera, Phyllostomidae. The transcript has a single exon.
AGGUCAUUUCAAAAAGAGCCUGUGGAACCAAAACCAGGAGCUCUUAAUGCUGUGACCCAAGACUGAAGUUCUCCAUAGGAUGUAAUAGACACUUGAUAGUGCUGUGUUUCCUAAGGAGAUGUAAGA